CUGCCAUUAAAGAUAAAGUAAGCACAUUUUACUUAUUGCAUACGAAUUGUUCACUAAAUGCUAACUCAGAUAUUUUCAAUUCAGCAUAUAUAUUUAAAUACAUUUUUAAAAAGAUUUCACUGAGUUAUUACAGAGAAAAUAUUUGCUGCGCUCACAGUUGGCAUUCCUUGAUCAUUUUUUUCCCCUAGGAUAGUUUGUCAGUUGACUUGCUCAUGUGUUCAGUUUUGCUCACUUACUUGAACAUUUACACUAAGGAUUCUUGGUAAUUUUCUGAUUUUCAUGUGUCAAAAGAAAAUUUUUACAACCUAAGUUCAAUUGUCAGCAUUGUGGAUUCUUCCAUAAAAAAGGCUCUCUUGUUGGAGGCCAAAGCGAGUUACCGAGCAAAACUCUGGGCUUCAUAAUGAAGUCACAUGAAAACCAGAUCCAUCGUUGCCCCUCUGCCUGAGACUGUGGCCCAGGUGUGGUUCAUGAAGACAUGAACAAAUGGAUUCAGUUUAAAGACCUAUGAAAAUUAAAUGGCUUGAUUUUGAUAUGGAUAAAAUAGAUUUGGGGUAAAUUUAUUUGGUACCAAAUCCAUACACUAUUCUAAGCAGUUGGUUAUUCACUCUUUAGUAGUGAUCUUGAAAAUAAAUUUUACGAGUUUCUAUGUCUGCAUGUGUGUGUAUGUAUGUGUAUAUUCCCAACUGUGAUUUUAACUGUAUUUGUUAUGACCUACAACCAUUUCCCACAGUACCUCUUUCCUUUGCUUAUUUGCUAUUUUUUAUUUACUUAUCUUCUGCAGCCAUUUUUGUUCAAAUGUCUUUCUGAAGUGCAAGGACAAAGAUUAACACAUUGCCUUUUGUUUUCUUUCUAAGCUUACAGAAGUAUACAAAGAAAUUCAAGGUUUUGAGUCAGUGGAGGUUACCCAAUUUCGGUAAGUAGCACAAUGUCCUUAGAAGGGCAUCUCCAGAGCUGUGUACCAGUCCUGCUGAAUGACAUGUGCUAUUCCCAGGUGACCUUGAUAGAAAACAGGGCAGAGCUAGUCUUCCUACUAGGGUUCUUACUCUGAUGCUUUCAAAGUUCUGAAGAGGAAAGUCUAGAUUCUCCUUUAAGUGAAUUUAGAAACUUCAACAUUGAAGAACAUUUUCAAAACUGUGGUUCAGGAGUAGAGCUAUAAAAACACACCUUGGAAGGAAACAGGAGCAUGCAUGUCCAGGAAGGGGCGAGGGUGGGGAGGAGGGGUGAGGGUUGUAGAGGGAUGGAUUUUUUCCUCCCACAGCCACAAGGGACAUGAUGCUGUAUGAUUCAGAGCCACAGGGCAGGGACGGGGGGGACUUGGGUGAAAUAUUAUCUUUUUGUGUAGAUGUCACAAUAUAUCACAAUUCAGAAUCCAGUAGUCAUUGUCUAUAGCAAAUAAAAAGAUAUUUAGUAAAUUAUCCUUUUGUUUAUGCUUUAACUCCAAAAGUUAUUUGCUUAGUUAACCAUGUGUACAUUGAUUGCCAACUAUUAAUAGUGUGCUUAAUAGAGGAAAUAGCUUAGAGGUCAGAGAACUUGACUCAUUAUUAAUUUUUUUUAACAAUUAACUUUUUUAAAAAACCAUUGGGAAUUUUCAACAGCAUUUGCUAUAAAUUUAUUAUCUUGGGCAUUCCCCUUUAAGUCAUCCUGUGUCUCAUGUAAAUAAUUUCCUUUAAAUUUAGUACCAGGAAAAACACUCCUUUCUUUUUUCAAAUGUUGAGUCUGUAUCAUUGAUCAUAUUUUCCUUUUGACUUUCCUGUUAUCCAACUUAUAGCCAAAAUUGAAACUCAAUCACAAUGAGUUUUGUAUUCUAUAUUAUAGUUUUUCCCCAUCUUGGUCCUGAUUUUCUACCUACAUUUCUAAUUUACAUUUCAUCAUGUGUGUCUUAUAAACUGUCCCCAGUAAUUUGUAGACACAAUCACAGUCAAAGGAGGCAUAAGCUUAUAAAUAUUAGGAUUGACUCUUAAUGUACAUGAUUUGAAAAUCAAUCUUUCUCUCACUCUCUCACUUAUCUCUCACUCUCUCACUUACUUAUCUGUCAAACAGGACAGUUAGUACCAUGAAACCUGUUUUAGUUCAUUAAAUCAAAUGAAAUCAUAGGCAGGAAAAUGCUUCGUAAGUAACAUAGAAGGGUGGUAAAAUGCAAAGGCACUGUGACCACUGCUACACAAAAGGACAUUUGUGUUUAUUGUGAAUCGAGCAGAAGUUUGACCUAGUAAUUAAGAAUUUGAGCUUUGGAGCAUCACGAUUUUUAACCUAUUAAUUAAUAAAUAAUGAUUACCUGGCCCAUCUUCUCUUUGGGCCUCAUUUAUCUUUAAAAUGUGGGUAACACAGUGAACCCUAAUUGCAGGGUCACCUGAUUAACACAUGUGAGCUGAUUUAUAUUUGAUACCUUAAAACACAUCUAUAUGCUGGUAGUUUCUUUGCUACUUGAGCUUGGUCCCCACCCUAAAGUCCAUUUUCAAAUAUCCAGCUGCCAACUUGACAUCUCCUCUUGGUUUUCCAGUGGGCAUGUCAAACACAACACACCUUCACUAGGCGCCCCCACAACUGUCCUGCUCCUGGCCACAGCCCACCUCACCAUCUUCCACAUCUCAGAUACAAUAAUGCUGUCCUUCCAGCUGCACAAACUUACACCUUGGAGCCAUCUUUUGUUUUGAUUUUCUUUUGAGAUGUGAUUUGCAUACAGCAGUGUGUUUAAAUCUUAAGUACACUUCAAUCAUCUUUGACAGAUAUUUGUAUAAGCCCUUCCUAUGAAGACAGAGUAUUUCUAUCAACUAGAAAGUUCCCUCAUGUUCCUUUCUAGUCAAUUUCCACCCCUACCUCCCACACUCUCUACCACUGGUCUGAUUUCUUCUAGGUUAGUUUUGCCUCCUCUACAAUCAUCACCCCACCUGUGGAUUUUUGUAUAUCUGGCUUCUUUCACUCGCAAAAUGUUUGAGAUUCAUCCUUAUUUUCUGACUAUUUGUGGUGCCUUCCCUUUUAUUGCCCAGUACUAUUCCAUUAUAUAACUAUAUUAAAGUGGUUCUUCAUUCCUUGAAAUUAUUCUUGACUGGUUUCUUUCUCUCAAAUCUGCUUCACUGGCAAGUUCUAUGCUGUCUUCCAGUCUAACCUGAAUCUGACUCUUUUCUCCAAUACUACCCGACAAGUUCAAGUUCACUACCUCCUUCCUUACUUGCCUCCUUUGAGUUUAUUUCCUACAUAGCAGCCAAAGUGAUGAUCUUAAAAAAUAAAUACAAUCAUAUGUUGCCUUUUAAUGAAUUCUAAAACUUUUAAGAUAAAGAAUCAAAUUCAAACUCUAAGGCCCUUGGUGAUCUGGAUCAUGGCGAUUUCUCCAAUAUUACCUUCUAUGUCUUUCUUUUUUACUCAUUGAAUUUUAUUCAGGCCAGUCUUUGUCAAAUUUGUUUCCCUGCCCCAGAUCUUUACAUCUGCUGGCAUACUAUCCAAUAUUCUUUUUGUCACUGGACCUUUUCUUCUCUUCCUUUGGGCUUGAGCACUCCUUCACACAGAGAAGCCUCGCUGAUUAGCUUUGUUUAAUGUGGGGUCUCAUCUCCAUCUAUUGUUCUGGUCACUGUGCCUGUCUCUCAUAAUACUGAAUAAAAUUUGGAAAUAUACAUAAGGGUACAUGUGUGUGCAUGUGCAUGUGCAUGUGUGUGUCUUGUUUCAUUUCUCAUUUACCCUCCUUUUGUACUUGAAGGUGCACACCAAGUCUGUCUGGUUUAUGCCUCUGGAACCCUAUGCCACGUACACACAGAUUAGGCCCUGCUUGAAGGAAUGAAUAGUGCAUCUCAUUUUUCUUUCCUGCCAUCAUUGCAGAGAGGGAAGCAUUAUUGUUGGGUAUGAAGUGAUUGGCUCAAGCAGCUCCUCUGAGCUGCUGUCAGCUGUGGAACAGGUGGCUGCGAAGGCGGAGGCCAGCCUGGGCCAGCUGUUUCUGUUGGAAGACGGAUCCUUCAUGGUGUUUGGAAAAGGUGAUACUGGAUUCCCAUUUUUUGUUUUGAUUAAGGGACUCCUUUAAUUAGUGCAUUUGUAUCUUCAGGAAGUAGAUUGGAAUUUUUUUUCAAGAGGGAAUUGUUCUAAAACAGACUUUCAGUGGAAACAGGCAGCUGUUUCCCUCAUCUCGGUAAAACUCAACUUUAGCUGACUAUUUUAAAUCCUUACUCAUCGCUGAUCCGAUCUCCAACUCCUGGUAUAAACAUCAUGGACAACUGAUUUCAGGGCAAGCUGUGAUGGAAAUUACUCAGAAAUGGUUUACUGGUACAUGUUGAAAGAGCCCUGGGGCUGACACAAUUUCUAAAUCACAGUGUGAGGACCCAAGAAAAGAAUGCAUACAUCCUUGUCUUUAACGAAAACAGACACAUGCACACACACCACUUUUUCUUGAAAUAGUUUUCUUUUCCUUUUGCUUCUUUUUAAAAUUUUUAUUUGGGUUGGCACAUGAUAAUCAUACAUGUUUAUGGGGUACACUUGCCUAUAUUGUGUUAUGAUCAAAUCAGGGUAAUUAGAAUAUCCCUCAUUUAAAUAUUUAUUUAUUUAUUUAUUGCAAUGAGAACUCUCACAAUGCUUUCUUCCAGCUAUUUUGAAAUAUACAAUAUGAUUCAACCAUGGAAAAGGAUGAAACCCUAUUGUGGGAUGAACCUGCAGGGCAUAUGUUAAGUGCAAUAAGCCAGGCAGAGAAAGAUAAAAGACAAAUACUGCAUCAUCUCAUUCAUAUGUGGGAUUUAAAAACAUUGAUUGAUGUCAUGGAAGUUGAGAUGGGGAACAGAAUAAGGUCUGGUAUUCUAUUCAGAGUAAGAGGCCUGUAGUUAAAAAUAAUAUGUAUUUCUUUUACUUCUUUAUAUUCAACCCUAGACCUCUCUUGCCAAGAUUUUUGCCAUUGUCUUUCAAUAACAUUUAUUUGACAAAUAUUUACUAAGUGUCUAGGCACUUAGGACAUAGCAAUAAGGAAAACAAACAAAACCCCCAGCCAUAUAGCUUUUGCAUAUGAUAUUUCCAUUUCCCAGUUUCAGUCAUAAUAAGAAUAUAUUAUUAAGAGCCAGUUGCAUGGGAUCCUAAUUAGAAUAAGUUAUACUCUGUGUAUGUAUGUCAAAAUGCACUCUACUGUCAUGUGUAUCUAAAAAGAACCAAUAAAAAAAAUUAAAAGAGAAAAGUUAAAUAAAGAUUGAUUGCAAUGUGAAAUGCUGUUAAAGGGGUAUAGAAGAUAUCACCUUUUGACCACAUAAUUACUACUUUGAGCCAUAAUGCCUUGAAGAUUUUCUGACUUUCUGGUAUUUUCUUAAAGAAAGAAAACAUUUCCUAGGGUUGAUCACAUCUUCCCUUAUUUUCACCUAAUACUUCCUAGUUGGUAGCUCAUCAAAAGGCAAAAAUCUGACACAUAGAAGAAAGAGCCAGCCUCAAGGUGGAGGCAUCAGGAAGGAGUACAGGUGCUAAAAGGAAAGAGGCUAGAUAUCAGAGUCACACUUCCUCCUUCUGAAUUUUGCCUGGGUUUUAUAUAUGAACAUAUGACUUCUAAAGUCUUUAAACACUACUACAUGGGUCACACAGAGUGCUGGAUAUUCUGGUAUCAUUUUUCCUGUUUCUCCUGUUUUCCAGUCCAGUGUAACAGCAUUUUCUUUGGAUUUGGGUCUAAGAAUGAUGAAUAUACCCUGCCCUGUAGCAGCGGCUACACUGGAAAUGUCACAGCCAAGUGCCAGCCCUCUGGAUGGCAGGUCGUCAGGGAGUCCUGUGUGCUCUCUCAGCUGGAAGAACUGCAGAAGGUGAAGUUUUUUCCUUUUGUGGACUUGGCCUGGGGUUUGAGUUUCACAGUAAGCAUCUCCCAGUAAGCACAGCUAGGGAGAGGGCAAAAUAUAUCAAGUUGUAUCAUUGGCCACUGUGCAGAAGGUGAGGCUGACAUCAGACUGUGGCAAACCCAGGGAGUGUGGGCAUGAAUGGCAGAGUCUAGCUGACAGCUGAAAAGGUCAGAAAAGGUCAGUCAUGCCACUUUAUUUCAAUAAUAUUUAUUCAGCAAAUAUUUACUAAGUGUCCAAUGUGUCUAGGAGUUUAACACGAUCAGAAUUGAUGGUUUUGUCUGACAGGGUGCUGCAAAGGAGGAAAUCAGUGCUAAAGUCUAUAGUAAAUGGUAGAACAGCAACUGAGCUGGCUUUAGAAGUUCAGCGGUCUAGGAAUUGAAGAUUAAAGUAGAAGUGUGAGUCAGAGGGCAAUAGGUUUAAUACAAGUGAGGAUGUACACAUAUCAGUCAUUGGGGCAGGGAGUGGGUCAGGCAGAGCUGAGCCACAUAGAACGACAAAUCUGCAAUGGACCUUAGGGUCAUUGGAUUUACAACCUCCUUCUUCAGGUUAGGAAACAAAAGACCAAGGAGCCAAUGGUCUCUCUAGAAGCAAUAGCAUUGAUCUACAAAUAGUUAUUUGAUUCCCAAUCCAAUAUUUGAUCUCUUCUCAUGCUCUCUUAGAAAGUUUUAAAUACCAAGACACAGUAAAUAGAAUGAAGAAAGUGAAUAGUCAGGAAAUAGCAGAACUUAAAUCACAGAAAAGAAUAACCUCAAGAUCAGUUCACAAACACCAUUCUGCUAGUAGGUCUCUACAUUGAGUAGUAUGUAUAUCCUGGCCACAGACCUGGCUAUUGCAGUAGAGAACCCCAGAAGAGUAUUCAUCAAAAUGUUGAGGAAUAGUCAUUUCUCCUUUUAUGUACUCAAUUUCUUUAUCUGUAAAGAGAAGCUAGAGAAGGUAACCUCUAGGAUCUCUCCUUUGGCCUUAUUUUUUGAACAUGGGCAAUAUUUAGAACUAGUUCACCCCAGAACGUAAGGAAGGUACAUUCCAGGUGCCCUGGGCAGAUAACAGCACUCUGAGCUAAAAAGAACAAGGAGAAGAGGUGGGGUCUAGGAUCGUGGGGUGACAUGUGUUGAUGGGAAGGUAGCACCCCUCCCUUGCUGCCUUCCACAUUAACCCAGCACAGCAGAAGCAGAUAGGAGCAUGAAAGAAGGAAUAAAACUCCAAAUUCAAGAGCAAAGUCAGGGUUGGCAAAAGUCUAGUAACUUCCACAUUGUCCCUCCAUCUUCCCAUCCAGUGGGGAUAUAGCCUAGCAUUAGUACUAUUAGACCUUGCAUACCACUUUCUUGCUGAGUAGUUUUUGGAAGAUCAUCAAAUAUCACUGAGCAACAGUUUCUGUAUAAUUAGAAUAAUGAUUUAUAUAAAGAUGCUUUUCUUAUCUGAUAAAAUUUAUUUAUUUAUUUAUUUUAGUUGUGGAAAUUUAUUUAUUUAUUUUUUAAAAUUGAUUUUAUUUUUAAGUACAUGACAGCAAAAUGCAUUACAAUUCUUAUUACCCAUAUAGAGCACAGUUUUUCAUCUCUGUAUAUAAAGUAUGUUCACACCAAUUCGUGUCUUCAUACAUGUACUUUGGAUAAUAAUGAUCAUCACAUUCCACCAUACUGACUAACCCCACGUCCCCUCCCUUCCCCUCCCACCCCUCUGCCAUAUCUAGAGGUCGUCUACUCCUCCCAUGCUCCCCUUCCCUACCUCACUGUGAAUCAGCCUCCUAUAUCAGAGAAAACAUUCGCCAUUUGUCUUUUGGGGACUAUCUAAUUUCACUUAGCAUUUUCUUCCCCAACUCCAUAAAAAUACCUGCAAUUUUAAUAAAUAUUUCAAUUUUCAGUCUUCUUAGUUAUAAAAUGACAACAAUAAUGGUACCUCCCUCAAGGAUGUUUAAGGGAUUCAAACAGUGAAUCCCUGGUAGAACAUUUGGCAGUGUCUGUAAUAGACAGAACCCUGAAUAACAGUCAUUUUUUUAAAUGACUGCUGUAUACUUAUUUUAGUAUACACAACCCAUCAAAUGUUAGUACUAGGUUGCCAAGAUAUUGGGUUGAAAUUUGAUGAAACCCAAACAUUUCUGUUUUCUAGAACGUAACCAUUUUUAUUUUUAGAAUUUCAGCCUGAUUGCAAACAGCGCUACAGAGAUGGACAUGUCAUCUCUGGUGCAAAAUCUUUCUGUCAUCAUUCAGCAAAAUCCAUCAACUACAGCUGGAAAUCUGGCUUCUGUGGUGUCAAUUCUGGGAAAUAUUUCAUUCCUGUCAAUGGCAAAGAAUUUCAAGGUGUCUAAUUUGACGUUGGAGGUAUGGUUUUCCUGUGUUUGCAGGGCUUUCUUUAAAAGCUGCAUCUUGUAGGAGAAAUGACAAAGUUCUAAGUAAUGGGGGAAAGACAGAAGAGCCAUAUAACAGUCCUCAUGUGAACUUUGUUCUUUCUCCAUAGGAUACAGGAACUCAUGAGAUCAAUAGUGUGAGUUCAAAGUAAAAGGGAGUUACACCUGAGCACGGGGCAUGGGCAGCACCUGGCUUAGAGAAUUAUUAUAUGACUUGGGCUCCAGCAUUUUGAUACAUGUUAGUAGCUUAUAAUCAUUCUUUCCUGUGGCCAUAAGCUCUGACUUUAGCUGUGUACAUUAUAAGAACUCCUUUACUCAACGCGGGAAUUCAUGGUUUCCUUUAGAUAUUUAAAAAUUAAUUUAAGAUCACACAGAUGGUAUAUGAUCACUAUAAGAAAUGCAAAUAAGCAAAAAGAAAAUUAAAUGAUCUGUAAUCUCAUCAUCUUAGAAUAGCAGCUGCUGCUUAUAUUCCAAUUAUCACCCCAGUGCCUGGAAGAAUAACAAGUGGUGCACAGCAGUGCUCAAUAAAUAUUUGCUCAAUAAGUGUCCUUCCAAACAUUUGAAAUAUUUGCAUUUUAUAUUUUAAGGUCUGUAACAUUUUACAAAAUCAGAUUAUGUAAUUUAUGUAACAAUUAUACUUGACUAUGUAUGAUGAAAAUUAUGUCAAUUUUUUAAUUUUAAAAAAUUAUGUCAACUUUAACAUAUUUUGAAUAAGUUAAAAUCAUAAAGGAAAGAUGCUCAGGUUUGUUUUUUGCAUUUUAUUCGUAAGAGAUCAGCUGAAAUAAUACGAAACAAAAAGGAUAAAUAUAAAAUGAAGAGUGAAAACAGCACACAAACAGAGCAAGAGAAAGCAGAGGAUCCUGGGGGCAGUAGAAUAAGCUCACUAGGCUCUGGGCCAGAAGACACAGAGGGCUGGAUAGGGUAAAACCUGGUAGACACCCACAGCAAAAUGCCGGAGAAUCAGAGUCCAAAGCCAGAAAGAGGUCCUGUGGGAGGAAAUAGCAAUGUUUAAGGAGUUGCUUGGAAAAGGAAUCUCUCAAACUCAGAGUGGCCCUAAAAACCCACAGCAAUUCAACACCGAUUUGAUGCUUGAGUCUAGUUUGUAAGGAUUUGUAUUUUAUAUCUUGUAUAGUAAACAAACAAAAAACAUGAAUUAAAUCUUGGCCACCCAUGAUAUGGAUUUUAAACUUCUGAUGUUAGCAAAACAAACAUCAUAAUAUGGAAAUUUGUCAAAAUAAUGUCUCCACGUUAUUACUCAGGAGAAUGGGAAUGCACCUUUGGGCACUAAAGGAUGUAUAUUCAGCCCAGUGUGUUUCUGAAUGCCUUGGGGUGGUCACCCUGGAACCAAGUUUCUUUCCCCAAAGUCUCUUCUGUGCAGAGUAGCAGAGCUGAAUUUAAUUGAUGAGCUUCAAUGUGUUCCUCAACUGAGUCAAUUUUCCAAGCAUUUUUUCUAAACUGAACACAAAUAACUAUCCACUCAUAGACCUCUCAUCUUUUUUACUGAAAACACUAACUUUCAUCCUUGUGUUUCAGAAUGUCAUCAAUAUAACUGAUCGUAUUCUUAAUUCAUCAUCAAUAACUAAUUGGACAAUUUUAUUGCAAGAAGAAAAGGAUGUCAGCUCACAGCUACUGAGGACAUUGGAAAACAUCAGCAUUCUGGUACCUUCAACUGCUCUGCCUCUGAGUUUUUCUCGAGAUUUCAUUAACUGGAAAGGGAUUCCAGUGACCGAAAGUCAGUAUGAACAGGGUUAUAACUAUCAGAUUGAAAUGUUCCAAAAAAAUACCUCCAUUCCUAUCAGAGGCUAUGUGUUAAUUGGACCAGGCCAAUUCCAGAAGCCCCUUCCAGAAAGUAUCAUCAACAUGGCUUCAUUGACCUUUGGAAACAUUCUGCCCAUUACCCAAAAUGAAAAUGUUCAGGUCAAUGGGCCUGUAAUAUCCACAGUUAUCCCAAACUAUUCCAUAAGUGAAAUUUCCCUGAUAUUCUCUAAGAUAGAGUCAAAUCUGAGAAAGCCUCAUUGUGUGUUUUGGGAUUUCAGUCAUUUGCGAUGGGACAGUGGAGGCUGCCACCUAGUAAAUGAAAGUCUAGAUAUGGUGACGUGUCAAUGUACUCACCUGACCUCCUUCUCCAUGCUGAUGUCACGCUUUGUCCCCUCUGCGAUUGUCCCUGCUGUGAAUUGGAUCACCUAUGUGGGACUGGGUAUCUCCAUGGGAAGUCUCACCUUAUGCCUGAUCAUUGAGGCUCUGUUUUGGAAGCAGAUCAAGAAGAGCCAAACUUCACGCACACGUCAUAUUUGCAUGGUGAACAUAGCCCUGUCCCUCUUGAUUGCAGAUGUUUGGUUUAUUGUUGCGGCCACUGUGGACACCACCAUAAACCCUUCUAGAGUCUGCACAGCUGCAGUGUUCUUUACACAUUUUUUCUACCUCUCUUUGUUCUUCUGGAUGCUCCUGCUUGGCCUCCUGCUGGCUUAUCGAAUCAUCCUUGUGUUCCAUCACAUGUCCAUGACUUUGAUGAUGGCUAUUGGGUUCUGUGUGGGCUAUGGGUGCCCUCUCAUUAUAUCAGUCAUCACCCUUGCAGUCACACAACCUAGCAAUAACUACAAAAGUAAAGAUGUGUGCUGGCUUAAUUGGUCUGAUGAGAGCAAACCUCUCUUGGCUUUUGUUGUCCCUGCAUUGACUAUUGUGGCUAUGAAUUUGGUUGUGGUGCUGUUAGUUCUCUCAAAGCUCUGGAGGCCAGCUAUUGGAGAAAGACUGAAUCAGGAUGACAAGGCCACUUUCAUCCGCAUGGGGAAGAGCCUACUCAUCUUGACCCCUUUGCUGGGGCUCACCUGGGGCUUCGGUAUAGGAACAAUGGUGGAUGGCCAGAAUCCAGCUUGGCAUGUUCUUUUUGCAUUACUGAAUGCAUUCCAGGUG
Molecule: long non-coding RNA, 11031 nt
Filed under: Marmota monax (woodchuck)
Lineage: Eukaryota; Metazoa; Chordata; Mammalia; Rodentia; Sciuridae
Source: RNAcentral